RNAcentral lists this long non-coding RNA (838 nucleotides) under Equus caballus (horse). RNAcentral describes it as "lncRNA (ENSECAG00000051189.1)". Lineage: Eukaryota; Metazoa; Chordata; Mammalia; Perissodactyla; Equidae. The record is from RNAcentral.
AUGUUGCUCUAUCCCUUUGCCCAGCCCAAAUUUCUCCAUUAAUGAAACUAAAACCACAGAUCAUCUGCCAUAGAACUGCACUGUUCUUUUGCUAUGAUUUCUAAGAGAGGUUUCCGUGAAGUAGGCUAGUCAAUGGGUUCUUCAUCAACAAAGUGGAACGUCAUGAAGCACAAACUCACAUGGGAAGAAGAAACGGAGAACCAUGAAAGAGGAGGUUGUGAAGACUCAGGAGGGUCAAUAAGUUGCCAGACUGAAUAAAAGAAACACUCUUUGACAGCACAGCGUCUCUCCGUGCUCACUUCAGCUAUGUAAAUACCGAGACGCUGUGAAAGCGAGGUCAGAAAGCCCAAACCUAUCAUUCUUUUAGCUUCUCAAGCAGACGCUUGUAGCUCCCAGACUGGGAACAAUUUCAAUUUUCUUUUUUGAGGCUCCCAUUCUCCUAAGACUAUGUGCACAUGACCCAAGCUGGGAAGAGCCACUGCAAGGAGCGUGGGAAGAGGUAUUUCAAGAAUGUUUCACGGAGAAGUUGCAAAGAUAUUAAAAUCAUCUUUCUCACUGUGAUUGUUGUGAUGUUUGCACCCUUUUCCCUCAAGCUGUAGAAGAAAAUGUAAAUGGAAAGCAUUCUUUAUACUCUGACAUGGCAAGGAGCUGGCAGCAGCGUGGCAGAGGAAUGAACUGAGGACAUGCUCCAUUGCCAGGGUGUUUACUGGGGCUUUGGCAGCACAGGAAUUUGAUUUGUUAUUUGAGAGCGAACAAAGCUAGUUAGAGGCUUUCAUUUUUUGUCUCUUUUUAUGAUAUAGGAACAAAUGAUUUCAUCAAAAUGAUGAAUUUUGGCCAU